Pyrus x bretschneideri (Chinese white pear) is the source of this 1345-nucleotide long non-coding RNA. RefSeq lists it as uncharacterized. The record is from RefSeq and is a predicted model, not a curated record. The transcript has 5 exons. NCBI's taxonomy places the organism in Eukaryota, Viridiplantae, Streptophyta, Magnoliopsida, Rosales, Rosaceae.
UUCCAUUUGCUCCUCUCAGCACUCAUUUUCUCGGUUUGCUUUGCGUCUAUUGUUCGCUCGAAUUUUCUUAGGAUUUUCAUUUCUUUCUCUCUGAUACCUGAUUUUCUCAGUUUGUUUCCGUUGAUCUUUUGUUUCUUCAGCGCAUUCCAUUUCUUUUUCGUCAUUUUCGAUGUGGAUUUGAAGAGGAUUUGUGAAGUGGCUUUUAUUUGAUGAGACCAUGUUCAGUUUUUCGGUUUGAUUUGAAGGAAUUUCUUGCGCAGAAGAGCUAGGGUUUCUUAGUGGUCUGCUGCUUUAGACUCAUUGGUUCAACCUCUGCUGGAUAACCAAAACCUGGUGUACAAACAAGACUCGAGACUUGAUUAAGUAGGUGCUUUAAUUAGAUGAAUUUAUUAAUUAAGCACAUAUUGUUUUCGUAUGCUGGAUGUGUAGUUUGUGUAAGAAGAGGUUGCAGUUGCCCUGGAAGCGAAUCAAUAAAAGAGUGCAAGACUUGAGAAAAAAAAUUUGUGACACAAAGAGCAAACUCUCCAGGCUACAAGCCAAACUACACUCCUACAGGCCACAUCCAAUGCAUCAAACGGAUCGGCUUUUGAGUUUAUCAUCAAAUAAUCAACCUAUUCAUCAGUAAAUUAACGUUUAAGUUUGUUUUUAAUUUUGUUCACAAAUGAAAUCAACCAACUUUUCAUGCCCUUUUGAUAGGAAAUUAUACAGUAAUGUUGACCACAUUUUGUGUAUGUUUUUUUUUUCUUUCUUUUGAGAUGUACUAUUCAUUUAUAUCAUAGAUGAUGAGAAUUAAAGAAAUUAAAUCUUGCUUUGGAUGAAAAGCUCAUGUUGAUGACAGGUACUAUUGCUGAUAUCAAUUGUCCCUCAUUUGCUUUAAUGCUGCAGGUGGCCUUAAAAGGAAUCAAGUAUGCAGAAGAAUGGUAGGAUCUUCAUAUCAAAGGGUUUAUCUGUGUGACGAUUACACAACUACAAUUCGAUUAGUCGAGCAUUGGUCUUUUCAUCCUUGAGUUGUUCUCAGAGCAUCUGCUCUAUCAAUGCUUUCCUGCCUUCUAUUGAAAAAGGAUUUUCUGCCUAUGACACCAAGAAAGUGUGGGAAGAUUGUUGAUUAUCUCAUUGACACUGGCCUUCGUUGUCGGCACAAGUGGUGGAGGUCCCUUAUCACUUUAUUUAAGUAAUAUCUCUAUCUUUGCACACAUUUCACACUAAGUUGUUAAUGGGAUUGUUCCGUAACUAGAUAAUUGUUUCCCGGAAUCUGUAUUAAUGUCGUUGCCAUGCAUUGAGCUAUCUCAUGAAUCUUCUUAUGUUUUCAGUAAUUCUUUUGUGUUGCCAUGUGAUCGUUCAAACA